CCAAAGGAUACACCUAGCUAACGGCGAGUGAAGCGGGAAGAGCUCAAAUUUGAAAUCUGGUAGCCUUCGGUUGCCCGAGUUGUAAUCUAGAGAAGUGUUUUCCGUGCCGGCCCAUGUACAAGUCCCUUGGAACAGGGCGUCAUAGAGGGUGAGAAUCCCGUCCUUGACAUGGACCCCCGGUGCUUUGUGAUACACUUUCAACGAGUCGAGUUGUUUGGGAAUGCAGCUCAAAAUGGGUGGUGAAUUCCAUCUAAAGCUAAAUAUUGGCGAGAGACCGAUAGCGAACAAGUACCGUGAGGGAAAGAUGAAAAGCACUUUGGAAAGAGAGUUAAACAGUACGUGAAAUUGUUGAAAGGGAAACGAUUGAAGUCAGUCAUGCUCUUGGGACUUACCUCCCUUGAGUGGGGUCAACAUCAGUUUUGAUCGAUGGAUAAAGGCACGGGGAAGGUAGCACUCUCGGGUGAACUUAUAGCCUCGCGUCAUAUACAUUGAUUGGGACUGAGGAACGCAGCAUGCCUCAUGGCCGGGAUUCGUCCACGUACAUGCUUAGGAUGUUGACAUAAUGGCUUUAAACGCCCGCUUGAAAAAAAGGAAAAAAAAAAAUCCUGAGGUUUUUU
RNAcentral lists this ribosomal RNA (617 nucleotides) under Naganishia albida. RNAcentral describes it as "partial 26S ribosomal RNA". It matches the Rfam family "Eukaryotic large subunit ribosomal RNA", at positions 67 to 664 of the family's 3401-position model. The record is from RNAcentral. Lineage: Eukaryota; Fungi; Basidiomycota; Tremellomycetes; Filobasidiales; Filobasidiaceae.